RNAcentral lists this transfer RNA (65 nucleotides) under Boccardiella hamata. Its description in RNAcentral is "tRNA-Tyr". It matches the Rfam family "tRNA". Rfam says of the family: Transfer RNA (tRNA) molecules are approximately 80 nucleotides in length. Their secondary structure includes four short double-helical elements and three loops (D, anti-codon, and T loops). The record is from RNAcentral. Lineage: Eukaryota; Metazoa; Annelida; Polychaeta; Spionida; Spionidae.
UGAGGAGUGGCCGAGUUAAAGCAGUAGACUGUAAAUCUACCUACGGAAGAUAUUUCCCUCCUUAU